CCUACGGGGGGCUGCAGUCGAGAAUCAUUCGCAAUGGGCGAAAGCCUGACGGUGCGACGCCGCGUGGAGGAUGAAGGCCCUAGGGUCGUAAACUCCUGUCAUCAGGGAGUAAAGACUCGUGUAGUCACUGACACGGGUCCUGAUAGUACCUGAAGAGGAAGGGACGGCAAACUUCGUGCCAGCAGCCGCGGUAAUACGAAGGUCCCAAGCGUUGUUCGGAUUUACUGGGCGUAAAGAGUCUGUAGGCGGCGGGGUAAGUCAGAUGUGAAAUCCCG
This 275-nucleotide ribosomal RNA is filed under the name uncultured Bacillus sp. RNAcentral describes it as "partial 16S ribosomal RNA". It matches the Rfam family "Bacterial small subunit ribosomal RNA", at positions 338 to 604 of the family's 1533-position model. Lineage: Bacteria; Bacillati; Bacillota; Bacilli; Caryophanales; Bacillaceae. The record is from RNAcentral.